Molecule: long non-coding RNA, 518 nt
Organism: Aedes aegypti (yellow fever mosquito)
Lineage: Eukaryota; Metazoa; Arthropoda; Insecta; Diptera; Culicidae
Exons: 2
Source: RefSeq, a predicted model, not a curated record
UGCGUGGUCCAUUUUUGGUCGGAUUUGGACCAAGUUUUGAGCUGUUCCAAAACUGGUUUGACAAAUGUUUGUUUACCAGUUCGGAUGUUUUACGCUGAAACAGUCACCACAGUCACCGUCUCUAGUUCCUACUCAUUUGAGCGCUACCCAUAAUAGAAAAUUUCAUCUUUCAUCGCAACAAACACGACCUUGCAAUACAUCUGAAUGGGGAAUUCGUGUUCCGGGAGCGCCGAGAUGACCAGCGGCCAACAGUAUCGGAAGCAAGCGGUCACUCUCUCUGACUUUCUUUCCCGACCUGAAACGGAUGCCACUCGGAAUGCGGUGUUCUUUCCAUAAUACCAAGCAGCGUUCUGAACAAACUGAUGAGAACAGCGGUGUCCGGAUCGAUUGCUCCGUUAUUGUGUGCUGCUUCCAUGGAUUCAACAGAUGGGCUGCACUCUCCGCCAAGUCUUGAGUUAGCCCAUUGCAUUUUUAAGGACUUUGUGAUACUCUCCAACAAAUCCACGGAACAGCUGGAA